Molecule: ribosomal RNA, 127 nt
Filed under: Staphylococcus aureus
Lineage: Bacteria; Bacillati; Bacillota; Bacilli; Caryophanales; Staphylococcaceae
Description: partial 23S ribosomal RNA
Rfam family: Bacterial large subunit ribosomal RNA
Source: RNAcentral
CCUCAAGAUGAGAUUUCCCAACUUCGGUUAUAAGAUCCCUCAAAGAUGAUGAGGUUAAUAGGUUCGAGGUGGAAGCAUGGUGACAUGUGGAGCUGACGAAUACUAAUCGAUCGAAGACUUAAUCAAA